CCUACGGGGGCAGCAGUGGGGAAUAUUUGGCAAUGGGCGCAAGCCUGACCCAGCAACGCCGCGUGGAGGAAGAAGGCUUUCGGGUUGUAAACUUCUUUUUACAGGGAAGAGUAGAAGACGGUACCUGUCGAAUAAGACACGGCUAACUACGUGCCAGCAGCCGCGGUAAUACGUAGGUGGCAAGCGGUGUCCGGUUGUACUGGGGGGAAAGGGCGUGUAGCCGGGUUGACAAGUCAGAUGUGAAAUCCUGCGGGUUAACCACAGAACUGCAUUUGAAACUGUUGAUCUUGAGUACUGGAGAGGCAGACGGAAUUCCUAGUGUAGCGGUGAAAUGCGUAGAUAUUAGGAGGAACACCAGUGGCGAAGGCGGUCUGCUGGACAGCAACUGACGGUGAGGCGCGAAAGCGUGGGGAGCAAACAGGAUUAGAUACCCUUGUAGUC
This 441-nucleotide ribosomal RNA is filed under the name uncultured bacterium. RNAcentral describes it as "partial 16S ribosomal RNA". It matches the Rfam family "Bacterial small subunit ribosomal RNA", at positions 338 to 795 of the family's 1533-position model. The record is from RNAcentral.